RNAcentral lists this ribosomal RNA (331 nucleotides) under uncultured bacterium. RNAcentral describes it as "bacterial SSU rRNA". It matches the Rfam family "Bacterial small subunit ribosomal RNA", at positions 568 to 898 of the family's 1533-position model. The record is from RNAcentral.
CACGUAGGCGGCUCGGCAAAUCAGUCGUGGAAUCCCGUCGCUUACCGGCGGAACGGCGGCUGAAAAUACCGGGCUAGAGGGCGUGAGGGGUCGCUGGAACUCCUGGUGAAGCGGGUGAAAUGCGUAGAUAUCAGGAGGAACGCCGGAGGCGAAAGCGAGCGACUGGCGCGUUCCUGACGCUGAGGUGCGAAAGCUAGGGGAGCAAACAGGAUUAGAUACCCUGGUAGUCCUAGCCGUAAACGAUGGACACUGAGUGAAGGAGGGCUUGCCCUUCUUUGCUGCAGCUAACGCGUUAAGUGUCCCGCCUGGGGAGUACGGCCGCAAGGUUAAA